Long non-coding RNA from Mauremys reevesii (Reeves's turtle), 178 nucleotides. RefSeq lists it as uncharacterized. Lineage: Eukaryota; Metazoa; Chordata; Testudines; Geoemydidae. The transcript has 3 exons. The record is from RefSeq and is a predicted model, not a curated record.
AAUAUCAAAGAACAUCAGAAGCAACAAAUCUUUCAACUGCCUGCAUGUGUCGUAAUGCUAGGUGCUCAGUCGGGAAACAUGUGAUCUGGAUUUUCAGGCAGUCAGUCUGCAGAGCCAGUCUAGAAUAAGAUGGGGGAAAGUCACAAGAACAAGGGAACGGGGACAGGCUGCCUUCUAG